Molecule: ribosomal RNA, 233 nt
Filed under: Aeromonas hydrophila
Lineage: Bacteria; Pseudomonadati; Pseudomonadota; Gammaproteobacteria; Aeromonadales; Aeromonadaceae
Description: partial 23S ribosomal RNA
Rfam family: Bacterial large subunit ribosomal RNA
Source: RNAcentral
UCAGAGGCGAUGAAGGACGUACUAACCUGCGAUAAGCCGUGAGCAGUCGGUAAGAGACAUUACGACUCACGGAUUUCCGAAUGGGGAAACCCACUUAGCAUAAGCUAGGUAUCGCUACGUGAAUACAUAGCGUAGCGAGGCGAACCGGGAGAACUGAAACAUCUAAGUACCCCGAGGAAAAGAAAUCAACCGAGAUUCCCUCAGUAGCGGCGAGCGAACGGGGAUUAGCCCUU